CUCAGGCGGUGGCGCAGGGACCGAUCCGCAGGAAGCCGCUGCCGGCGGCGUGUAAAUAUCCGAGUUUGGGCCGAGAUCACCUCGGGGCCGUGGUGGCAGAGCAGGAAGGUGACACAGAGCUGUGGGGAGCGGUUCGGCCGAGCGCCGGGGCAGCAGAGGAAUGAUUUUCAAAAGGAAUCCAUGCAGUGAAUGUGAUGAACCACCAAUCUGCCUGAUGCUACUACCCCAACUCUGUCCUUCAUCAGAUUAAGUUCUCUUCUUACCUCACUGAGCAGCAGCAGAAAGGUUAUCUGUUUGCAACCAUGACCAGUCUAGUGUAUACUAGUGUGUACUGCUGGGACUCUGAUGAGACCUGAUUUCCUUGAAGUCACA
Long non-coding RNA from Ficedula albicollis (Collared flycatcher), 372 nucleotides. RefSeq lists it as uncharacterized. The transcript has 3 exons. NCBI's taxonomy places the organism in Eukaryota, Metazoa, Chordata, Aves, Passeriformes, Muscicapidae. The record is from RefSeq and is a predicted model, not a curated record.